GCGUUGCUCGGUAUGACUGGGCGUAAAGGGCGCGUAGGCGGAUGGCUUUGUCGGUCGUUAAAUUCCAGGGCUUAACCUUGGGGCUGCGUUCGAGACGGGUUGUCUAGAGUUUGGCAGAGGGUCGUGGAAUUCCCAGUGUAGAGGUGAAAUGCGUAGAUAUUGGGAAGAACACCGGUGGCGAAGGCGGCGACCUGGUCCUUGACUGACGCUGAGGCGCGAAAGCGUG
RNAcentral lists this ribosomal RNA (226 nucleotides) under uncultured bacterium. Its description in RNAcentral is "partial 16S ribosomal RNA". It matches the Rfam family "Bacterial small subunit ribosomal RNA", at positions 538 to 763 of the family's 1533-position model. The record is from RNAcentral.